This 262-nucleotide unclassified non-coding RNA is filed under the name Glomeraceae sp. RNAcentral describes it as "partial contains 5.8S ribosomal RNA and internal transcribed spacer 2". The stretch from base 1 to 65 matches the Rfam family "5.8S ribosomal RNA", at positions 84 to 154 of the family's 154-position model. The record is from RNAcentral. Lineage: Eukaryota; Fungi; Glomeromycota; Glomeromycetes; Glomerales; Glomeraceae.
GUGAAUCAUCGAAUUUUUGAACGCAAAUUGUACUCUUUUCGGAGAGUAUGCGUGUUUGAGGGUCAGCCUAUAAAAAAUCGACAUCGUUGCUGUUUCGUGGUGGCGUUGGUCGGAAAUUGGGUCAUCUUAAAUACUUUUGAUUUAAGCGACUUAAAAUUUUCUUUUGGUUCCAUGAACGUUUCUAAGAUCUAUUUCUUUACACGUUUAAGGUAUCGAUUUUGACUAGAUGGGAAUAUCAUAUCGGAUCGCGUACAUAAUUUUU